Molecule: ribosomal RNA, 429 nt
Filed under: Verrucomicrobiota bacterium
Lineage: Bacteria; Pseudomonadati; Verrucomicrobiota
Description: Verrucomicrobia bacterium partial 16S ribosomal RNA
Rfam family: Bacterial small subunit ribosomal RNA
Source: RNAcentral
UAGGGAAUCUUCCGCAAUGGACGAAAGUCUGACGGAGCAACGCCGCGUGAGUGAAGAAGGAUUUCGGUUCGUAAAACUCUGUUGUUAGGGAAGAAAAAAUGUAUAGUAACUAUAUACAAAAGAGACGGUACCUAACCAGAAAGCCACGGCUAACUACGUGCCAGCAGCCGCGGUAAUACGUAGGUGGCAAGCGUUGUCCGGAAUUAUUGGGCGUAAAGCGCGCGCAGGUGGUUUAGAAAGUCUGAUGUGAAAGCCCACGGCUCAACCGUGGAGGGUCAUUGGAAACUAAUAAACUUGAGUCAAGGAGAAGAAAGUGGAAUUCCUAGUGUAGCGGUGGAAUGCGUAGAUAUGAGGAGGAAUACCGGUGGCGAAGGCGACUUUCUGGACUUGAACUGACGCUGAGGCACGAAAGCGUGGGGAGCAAACAGG